Molecule: ribosomal RNA, 305 nt
Filed under: uncultured bacterium
Lineage: Bacteria
Description: bacterial SSU rRNA
Rfam family: Bacterial small subunit ribosomal RNA
Source: RNAcentral
GCCUACGGGGGGCAGCAGUCGAGAAUCAUUCACAAGGGGGGAAACCCUGAUGGUGCGACGCCGCGUGGGGGAAUGAAGGUCUUCGGAUUGUAAACCCCUGUCAUGUGGGAGCAAAUUAAAAAGAUAAUACCACAAGAGGAAGAGACGGCUAACUCUGUGCCAGCAGCCGCGGUAAUACAGAGGUCUCAAGCGUUGUUCGGAAUCACUGGGCGUAAAGCGUGCGUGGGCUGUUUCGUAAGUCGUGUGUGAAAGGCGCGGGCUCAACCCGCGGACGGCACAUGAUACUGCGAGACUAGAGUAAUGGG